AUUAUUUUUGCCCUUAAAUGAGUAAAAAGAGAAAAAUCUAUAAAAUGAAGGGAAAAAUGUGAGAGAAAAAAAUUAAGCAUAUUCUUCUCCAGCGGCUAGCGCGCCACCGCUUCACAAGAAUCUCCGGCAAUAUGCAUUUAGCACGCGGCAUUUACUUUUCUACUCCUAAAAACAUUAGCGAGUAAGAAAAUAUCAUUUGGCCUCGUGUGUUUACCGCCACUCCAAAUUUGCCUGAAUGUUUACAGGUUGUUUCUGUUCUGUUCUGUUCAAUUCAAUUUCAAUUUAAUGCACAGAACCAUCUAUCCGGCGCGGUUGUUCAGAACAAAGUACCAAUUUUCUCUUAAUUUCUCGUCCAAGCCAACACAAACUCGCACCCUGCCCCUGGACCUCCCAUCUUGCAUUGCAUCACUUCAAUCAUGUGCCCAAAGACAGGACCUUUCAGAAGGCAGAAAACUCCACUCCCACAUGAUUGUUAAUGGCAAUCUUGAGUCUCCUGUUUCUGCAACUAGCCUUAUCAAUAUGUACUCCAAGAGUGACUCCAUUGCUGAUGCUUUAUGUGUUUUUCAUGCAUCAACCGGUAUUCACAAUGUGUUCGUUUAUAACGCAAUUAUUGCAGGUUUUACUGUUAAUGACAUGGCGAAUGAGGCUUUUGAGUUUUAUUAUAAAAUGCGGUUAAUUGGUAUAGAACCUGAUAAGUUUACUUUCCCAUGUGCGGUUAAGGCUUGUCCAGAUACUGUAAGUUUGGAAAAGAUUCAUGGUCUGUUGUUUAAACUUGGAUUAGAAUUUGAUUUGUUCAUUGGUAGUGCAUUAGUGCAUUGCUACUUGAAGUUUGAUUUAGUUAAUGAGGCACUAGAAGUGUUUGAGGAAUUGCCCAACAGAGAUGAUGUUGUGCUUUGGAAUGCUAUGAUCAAUGGGUAUAUGCAGAUUGGGGAGUUCAAUAAUGCUUUGGAGAUUUUUAGGAGGAUGGGUGAAUUUAGAAUCAUUCCUAAUAGAUUUACCAUUACAGGAGCAUUAUCAGCAUUGUCUCUUGCUGGGGAUGUUUACAACGGUAAGUUAAUUCAUGGGUUUGUGAUAAAACUGCGGUAUGAUUGUGGUAUUGCUGUUUUAAAUGCUUUAAUUGAUAUGUAUGGGAAAUGUAGGCUUAAGAUGGACGCAUUGAAGAUUUUUGAGGACAUGAUUGAAAAGGAUAUAUAUUCAUGGAACUCAAUUAUAAGUGUCCAUGAACAAUGCGGUGAUCAUGAGAGAACUUUGAGUCUUUUCAAGAGGAUGUUUCGUGCUGGGGUUUGGCCAGAUUUGGUGAGUGUUACUGCUGUACUUCCUGCAUGCUCAAAUUUGGCCGCAUUGAUGCAUGGUAGGGAAAUUCAUGGGUACAUGAUUAUUAAUGGGUUGGGAAAGGAUGGAGGUACAUAUAUUGACAAUGCUAUAAUGGAUAUGUAUGCAAAAUGUGGCAGUAUGAGGGAAGCCCACUUAGUUUUUGAUACAAUGAGAUGUAGGGAUGUGGCUUCAUGGAACAUUAUGGUUAUGGGCUAUGGAAUGCAUGGGUUUGGCAACAAGGCACUAGAUUUAUUUUUUCGUAUGUGCAAGGCAGGGUUGAAGCCUGAUGAGGUCUCAUUUGUAGGGGUUUUGUCAGCUUGCAGCCAUGCAGGAUUUGUAAGCGAGGGUAGAGAAUUGCUUGCACAAAUGCAACCUCAAUACGGUGUCAUUCCAACUAUUGAACAUUAUUCUUGUGUGAUUGACAUGCUUGGUCGGGCUGGGCAGCUUGAGGAGGCUUAUCAGUUGUUGUUCAAAAUGACAGUUCCUGUUAAUCCAAUAGUGUGGAGGGCAUUCUUGUCUGCAUGUCGGCUUCAUGGGAAUGCUAAUUUGGCCGAGGUUGCUGCACAGAGGGUACUUGAGCUUGAACCAGAGCAUUGUGGAAGUUAUGUUUUGAUGUCGAAUAUUUUUGGAGCAGCUGGUCGAUUUGAAGAGGUGGCGGAAGUGAGACAUGCAAUGAGGCAACAAGAUGUGAGUAAGAGACCUGGUUGCAGCUGGAUUGAAUUGAACAAUGGCUUGCAUGUUUUUGUUACCGGUGAUCGGGCUCAUCCUGAAGAGUACUUUAUUUAUGCUGGACUAGAUUCUUUGACUGAACGUUUAUGUGAGCAUGGAUAUCUGUUGGAUGUCAUGGAAAGCAGUAAUUGAAAGUCUAUGAGCGGUUUCUGGUGAUUUAUGCUGGCAUUGCUAAGCAUGGUCAUUUCAUGCAUGUAAGAUACUUUGGUUGCUUUCCACCUUGCAGUCAAGCAAAUUAUAUCGCUGCUUCCCAAUGCAAAUAUUUUAAUUUUAGACCUGUUAAUAUGUAUUCAUUGUUUUAAAUUGUAGCUUAUUUUUAUUGUAAGUCUUUGCACUGCCUCAAUAGCAUCAAGGAUGACAUCUCUGGGAAGUUCCUUUGUGUGACCUGAUUAAGGGAGUCCUGAUGGUAGGCUAAUUCUUUCUCCUGACCUCGUUCACCGACUUUUUCCUUUGUUCUUAGUUUAUUUUAUUCUAUAAAUGAAUGCACAGACCCCUUCUUUAUUCUAUUUAUAUUUUCCUUUAGGUUUUACUUUUUGAGAGUUGGGGGGAGUGGUCCAAACACUGGUUGGCUCUAGGUUUCUCACUGUAUGCCACAUAGCACUAUGUUAAUGUUGUUCAAGCUUUCCCCUAAAUGUUUUUGCUCUUUACAUUUUUGUUAUGUAUUAAGGUUGUGGAAAAUUUACCAUGGAAAUGUCUUGUCUCUCUUCUGGGGCUAUUUUCUUCAGCCAUUUCUUUUACACAAUGGCCAAUGUUAUUAACAUUUUAUUGGGGUGUGUUUGGUAUUUGCAGGCGCUCGCUGUUGAACUGGUAUGUUUACCUUCUCCCCAUCCUCUCUUCCCUAUCAUCUUUGUUGAUUCUAUCUGCGAGGAGUUCUCCUUUUUUUUUUUUUUUUUUUUUAGAUCUUUCGAAAUAUGUUGAAUAGACAAAAGACUAGUUCCCAAGAUGUCUGCAUUUAGUGAGAAACCAC
RNAcentral lists this long non-coding RNA (3010 nucleotides) under Olea europaea subsp. europaea. Lineage: Eukaryota; Viridiplantae; Streptophyta; Magnoliopsida; Lamiales; Oleaceae. The record is from RNAcentral.